This 1015-nucleotide ribosomal RNA is filed under the name Atys semistriata. Its description in RNAcentral is "SSU rRNA". It matches the Rfam family "Eukaryotic small subunit ribosomal RNA", at positions 25 to 989 of the family's 1831-position model. Lineage: Eukaryota; Metazoa; Mollusca; Gastropoda; Cephalaspidea; Haminoeidae. The record is from RNAcentral.
CAUAUGCUUGUCUCAAAGAUUAAGCCAUGCAUGUCUAAGUUCACACUGUUUCACGGUGAAACCGCGAAUGGCUCAUUAAAUCAGUCGAGGUUCCUUAGAUGACACGAUCCUACUUGGAUAACUGUGGCAAUUCUAGAGCUAAUACAUGCCUGUGAAGCUCCGACCCUCGUGGAAAGAGCGCUUUUAUUAGUUCAAAACCAAUCGCCGUGUCGGGCGUCUUCGCGGGCGCUCGUGCGCGGUGUCCCCCAUUGGUGACUCUGGAUAACUUUGUGCUGAUCGCAUGGCCUCUUGUGCCGGCGACGCAUCUUUCAAAUGUCUGCCCUAUCAAAUGUCGAUGGUACGUGAUAUGCCUACCAUGUUUGUAACGGGUAACGGGGAAUCAGGGUUCGAUUCCGGAGAGGGAGCAUGAGAAACGGCUACCACAUCCAAGGAAGGCAGCAGGCGCGCAACUUACCCACUCCCGGCACGGGGAGGUAGUGACGAAAACUAACAAUACGGGACUCUCUACGAGGCUCCGUAAUUGGAAUGAGUACACUUUAAAGCCUUUAACGAGGAUCUAUUGGAGGGCAAGUCUGGUGCCAGCAGCCGCGGUAAUUCCAGCUCCAAUAGCGUAUAUUAAAGUUGUUGCAGUUAAAAAGCUCGUAGUUGGAUCUCGGGUGCAGGCGGACGGUCCGGCUCGCGCCGGUUCACUGUCCGUAAUUUCUCUCCUGCCCUACUGGUCUGCCGGCUCUCUCCCGCGGGUGCUCUUCGCUGAGCGUCCCGGGUGGCCGGCGCGUUUACUUUGAAAAAAUUAGAGUGUUCAAAGCAGGCCUCGGCUGCCUGAAUAAUGGUGCAUGGAAUAAUGGAAUAGGACCUCGGUUCUAUUUUGUUGGUUUUCGGAACUGGAGGUAAUGAUUAAAAGGGACAAACGGGGGCAUUCGUAUUGCGGCGUUAGAGGUGAAAUUCUUGGAUCGCCGCAAGACGAGCUACUGCGAAAGCAUUUGUCCAGAAUGUUUUCAUUAAUCAAGAACGAAAG